RNAcentral lists this ribosomal RNA (460 nucleotides) under uncultured bacterium. Its description in RNAcentral is "partial 16S ribosomal RNA". It matches the Rfam family "Bacterial small subunit ribosomal RNA", at positions 338 to 795 of the family's 1533-position model. The record is from RNAcentral.
CCUACGGGAGGCAGCAGUGAGGAAUAUUGGUCAAUGGACGAGAGUCUGAACCAGCCAAGUAGCGUGAAGGAUGACUGCCCUAUGGGUUGUAAACUUCUUUUAUAUGGGAAUAAAAUGUUCCACGUGUGGGAUUUUGUAUGUACCAUAUGAAUAAGGAUCGGCUAACUCCGUGCCAGCAGCCGCGGUAAUACGGAGGAUCCGAGCGUUAUCCGGAUUUAUUGGGUUUAAAGGGAGCGUAGGUGGAUUUUUAAGUCAGUUGUGAAAGUUUGCGGCUCAACCGUAAAAUUGCAGUUGAAACUGGCAGUCUUGAGUACAGUAGAGGUGUGCGGAAUGCGUGGUGUAGCGGUGAAAUGCUUAGAUAUCACGAAGAACUCCGAUUGCGAAGGCAGCUCACUGGACUGCAACUGACACUGAGGCUCGAAAGUGUGGGGAGCAAACAGGAUUAGAUACCCUAGUAGUC